RNAcentral lists this long non-coding RNA (291 nucleotides) under Cavia porcellus (domestic guinea pig). RNAcentral describes it as "lncRNA (ENSCPOG00000031132.1)". The record is from RNAcentral. Lineage: Eukaryota; Metazoa; Chordata; Mammalia; Rodentia; Caviidae.
GCAAGCUGUUUCCGCGGCGUCGACGUCCGGGCCCCGUGGCGCGGGCGCGAGCGGCGCGCGGGGAGGCUCUUUGUUCUGUAAUCCCAGUAAGAUUGCCAGCCAUUCGCCCCGGCCCUAAUCCCAGCCCCGCGCAACACCACCCUCCAUUGGCUGCCAUUUACAUACGGGAUUAGCCCGCCCGCCCCGCGCCCAGCGCCCCGGCCCGGGCACCGCGCACCCCCCUUCUCUCCCCGGCCAGGCCUGCGAGACGGCGCCCUGAAGCUCCGGGCGCCAGGGAAAGAGAGAAACUAG